UACCAGGUGUUCAACAUCCAAUGCAUGCUCUUGUUGAGCAUCAGACAUGUGAAAAUCAUACGAAUCAUCAAACUCCGCGAGCAAUGGGAAAUCGAGCCAAGUCUCCGGAUGCAUGGAAAUGUUCCUCACAAACUCCAUGACCUCCUCAGUAACACCAACAGCCCCAACCCCGCCCUCCUCCUCAUCAUCCCCCUCCUCCGAUCCAAACAACGUUGACGCCAUCUUCGAGAUCUCACUCACCGCCUUGUUGCUCGACAGCAACGAGAUCCCG
RNAcentral lists this unclassified non-coding RNA (271 nucleotides) under Hevea brasiliensis (rubber tree). Lineage: Eukaryota; Viridiplantae; Streptophyta; Magnoliopsida; Malpighiales; Euphorbiaceae. The record is from RNAcentral.